This 497-nucleotide ribosomal RNA is filed under the name uncultured bacterium. RNAcentral describes it as "partial 16S ribosomal RNA". It matches the Rfam family "Bacterial small subunit ribosomal RNA", at positions 28 to 507 of the family's 1533-position model. The record is from RNAcentral.
GAUGAACGCUGGCGGCGUGCCUAAUACAUGCAAGUCGAGCGAACAGACGAGGAGCUUGCUCCUCUGACGUUAGCGGCGGACGGGUGAGUAACACGUGGAUAACCUACCUAUAAGACUGGGAUAACUUCGGGAAACCGGAGCUAAUACCGGAUAAUAUAUUGAACCGCAUGGUUCAAUAGUGAAAGACGGUUUUGCUGUCACUUAUAGAUGGAUCCGCGCCGCAUUAGCUAGUUGGUAAGGUAACGGCUUACCAAGGCGACGAUGCGUAGCCGACCUGAGAGGGUGAUCGGCCACACUGGAACUCAGACACGGUCCAGACUCCUACGGGAGGCAGCAGUAGGGAAUCUUCUGAAAUGGGCGAAAGCCUGAAGGAGCAACGCCGCGUGAGUGAUGAAGGUCUUCUGAUCGUAAAACUCUGUUAUUAGGGAAGAACAAAUGUGUAAGUAACUAUGCACGUCUUGACGGUACCUAAUCAGAAAGCCACGGCUAACUACGUG